This 674-nucleotide ribosomal RNA is filed under the name Acinetobacter guillouiae. RNAcentral describes it as "bacterial SSU rRNA". It matches the Rfam family "Bacterial small subunit ribosomal RNA", at positions 11 to 676 of the family's 1533-position model. Lineage: Bacteria; Pseudomonadati; Pseudomonadota; Gammaproteobacteria; Moraxellales; Moraxellaceae. The record is from RNAcentral.
GUUUUGAUCAUGGCUCAGAUUGAACGCUGGCGGCAGGCUUAACACAUGCAAGUCGAGCGGGGGAAGUUGCUUCGGUAACUGACCUAGCGGCGGACGGGUGAGUAAUACUUAGGAAUCUGCCUAUUAAUGGGGGACAACAUCUCGAAAGGGAUGCUAAUACCGCAUACGCCCUACGGGGGAAAGCAGGGGAUCACUUGUGACCUUGCGUUAAUAGAUGAGCCUAAGUCGGAUUAGCUAGUUGGUGGGGUAAAGGCCUACCAAGGCGACGAUCUGUAGCGGGUCUGAGAGGAUGAUCCGCCACACUGGGACUGAGACACGGCCCAGACUCCUACGGGAGGCAGCAGUGGGGAAUAUUGGACAAUGGGGGGAACCCUGAUCCAGCCAUGCCGCGUGUGUGAAGAAGGCCUUAUGGUUGUAAAGCACUUUAAGCGAGGAGGAGGCUCUCUUGGUUAAUACCCAAGAUGAGUGGACGUUACUCGCAGAAUAAGCACCGGCUAACUCUGUGCCAGCAGCCGCGGUAAUACAGAGGGUGCGAGCGUUAAUCGGAUUUACUGGGCGUAAAGCGUGCGUAGGCGGCUUUUUAAGUCGGAUGUGAAAUCCCCGAGCUUAACUUGGGAAUUGCAUUCGAUACUGGGAAGCUAGAGUAUGGGAGAGGAUGGUAGAAUUCCAGGUGU